GCAUGUGCGUGUCUGGGAUCUAGCAGACUGUUCAAAGUAAGAGUCACCUCUGUAGCUCCACACGCUUCUGCCUCUGGCCCCACCCAGGCAACACCACCACCCUGGAAGGUUGUCCGUGAGGAAAUUAUGUUCUGAUGCUGGAAAAAGACAACCCAGAAGAGCAAUCCAUCAAUGAAUACCUGGCAGGAUCAGAUCUGCGACUCUUAUCUAAGGACCACAGCAACUUCAUGGACAGUCACUGAUCAGGAGGUCAACAAUGCCAUCAAGAGACAACAGAGGUGGGGAACCCUUUCCAUCCUGGUGGCCACAUUCCCUUCUGGACCAUCUUCAGAGAUCUACAUGCCAGUGCUGGGCGGGGCCAGAGGCAAAUGUGGGCAGAGCAACCAAUGCAAAUUUUAUUUUUGUACAGUAGUCUAGUUUCUAUACACACUCACAUCCCUCUGUCCUCCGUCCCAGUAAGCAAGCAGCAUUAUCAGAGCUGAAGGGCACAUUCUAGCCAGGCCAAAACACUUGGGGUGUGAAGGACGGCCAGUGAGGCAUGUGGCUUAGGGAGAUGGGGUGUGGUCUGCGGAGAGUCUUGAGGGGCCAGAUAGAGAUGUGUGGAGGGCAGAGCUUGGAAAAGUUACUUUUUGAACUACAGCUCCCAUCAGCCCCAGCCAGCGCCAUGCUGGUUGGGGCUGAUGGGAGUUGUAGUUCAAAAAAGUAACUUUCCCAAGCUCAAGUGGAGGGCUACAUUCAGGCUGCGAGCUUGAGGUUCCCCGCCCCUGCCUUACAAGGCCUGCUGGGAAUUGUAGUAGUACUACAGAAAUACCAAUAAACUAUAAGGAGGCUGCACUACUAUACCCACAGAAGCACCUUGCACCCUGCGAUCAUUUCGUAGGACAAACGAAUUAAAUGUGCGUGCCCCAUUCACAAGUGACAGCAAUGCCCCUGUAUUUUGCCAUUUAUAUUUUAAAAUAAAUAUUUUUAAAUUAAAAAAAUGUGAAAAAACAAAAUAAAAACAUGAUAGAAAAAGCCA
Molecule: long non-coding RNA, 1018 nt
Organism: Rhineura floridana
Lineage: Eukaryota; Metazoa; Chordata; Lepidosauria; Squamata; Rhineuridae
Exons: 3
Source: RefSeq, a predicted model, not a curated record